GAUCCUGGCUCAGAUUGAACGCUGGCGCAUGCUUUACACAUGCAAGUCGAACGGUAACAGGUUAAGCUGACGAGUGGCGAACGGGUGAGUAAUGCAUCGGAACGUGCCCGAUCGUGGGGGAUAACGCAGCGAAAGCUGCGCUAAUACCGCAUACGAUCUGAGGAUGAAAGCGGGGGACCGUAAGGCCUCGCGCGAUCGGAGCGGCCGAUGUCAGAUUAGGUAGUUGGUGGGGUAAAGGCUCGACCAAGCCGACGAUCUGUAGCUGGUCUGAGAGGACGACCAGCCACACUGGGACUGAGACACGGCCCAGACUCCUACGGGAGGCAGCAGUGGGGAAUUUUGGACAAUGGGCGCAAGCCUGAUCCAGCAAUGCCGCGUGCAGGAAGAAGGCCUUCGGGUUGUAAACUGCUUUUGUACGGAGCGAAAAGGCCCUCUCUAAUACAGGGGGUUCAUGACGGUACCGUAAGAAUAAGCACCGGCUAACUACGUG
Molecule: ribosomal RNA, 490 nt
Filed under: uncultured bacterium
Lineage: Bacteria
Description: bacterial SSU rRNA
Rfam family: Bacterial small subunit ribosomal RNA
Source: RNAcentral